This 781-nucleotide long non-coding RNA is filed under the name Gouania willdenowi (blunt-snouted clingfish). RNAcentral's name for it is "lncRNA (ENSGWIG00000000950.1)". The record is from RNAcentral. Lineage: Eukaryota; Metazoa; Chordata; Actinopteri; Blenniiformes; Gobiesocidae.
AAAUUAUUGACGGGCGGCAAUGGCCGCGGCUGUGUUGAAAGUUGCACAUUUCUCUGCGGAUACUGCAUUAUAAACGUUGAUAUUUUCACCACGUGCUAUAUAACCAAAAUGCGCACCUUGGAUGUACAUGUUAAAUGCACACAGAGCUGUUUAGAGAGAGUUCCUGAAAGUUUCAAAUAGUUCCAGCGGGUCUGUUAUUUUUUUUUCUCUUUACACGCAUUUCAACAAUCUGUGACGGAGAAUGUGCUGAUGCGCGUGCGUGUGUGAGAGAGAUGAGUCCCACAUGUCAACGCAGGUUGCUGCAGGAAAGACAAAGAGAUUGCUGGCGGCUAUAAAUGCAGGAGUUUUACCAGGCAUUAAUGGAGCAGUCUUGCCAGGCAUUAAUGGAGGACUGUUGCCAGGAGUUAAUGGAGGACUGUUGCCAGGUGUUAAUGGAGGACUGUUGCCAGGCAUUAAUGGAGGACUGUUGCCAGGAGUUAAUGGAGGACUGUUGCCAGUUAUGAAUGGAGGACUUGGAAAUGGCGUAAACCCCGGGCUCAUCGCUGGAAGGCUGAACCCACCUAUGGUAGCUGGUGGUGGGGCAGGUUUUAUGGGACAGCCCCAGUUUGCUCAGUUUGUUCCUGCUGCUCAAGCCUUUGCACCUCGUCCACAAAUCCCCAAUCCGUAUUCUUUCCCAGCAUUCAACGUGCCACUUUUCAAUGGAGUUCCUCAGAUGGGCCCUAUGAAUCCAGCUCAGCAGCCUUUGAUGGUAAACACUCCUUCUGUCUGUUACAGUUUCUGA